RNAcentral lists this ribosomal RNA (301 nucleotides) under uncultured bacterium. RNAcentral describes it as "partial 16S ribosomal RNA". It matches the Rfam family "Bacterial small subunit ribosomal RNA", at positions 509 to 807 of the family's 1533-position model. The record is from RNAcentral.
CAGCAGCCACGGUAAUACGUAGGUGGCAAGCGUUGUCCGGAAUUAUUGGGCGUAAAGGGCUCGCAGGCGGUUUCUUAAGUCUGAUGUGAAGGCCCCCGGCUCAACCGGGGAGGGUCAUUGGAAACUGGGAACCUUGAGUGCAGAAGAGGAGAGUGGAAUUCCACGUGUAGCGGUGAAAUGCGUAGAGAUGUGGAGGAACACCAGUGGCGAAGGCGACUCUCUGGUCUGUAACUGACGCUGAGGAGCGAAAGCGUGGGGAGCGAACAGGAUUAGAUACCCCGGUAGUCCCUGUCUCUUAUAC